UUACGGCCACAUCAUGUUGAAACACUAGUUCCCAUAUGAUCACCAAAGUUAAGCAAAGUCAAGCCUGGUCAGUAACUAGAUGGGUGACUGCUUGGGAAUAGUAGA
This is a non-coding RNA of Acanthosepion pharaonis, 105 nucleotides long. Lineage: Eukaryota; Metazoa; Mollusca; Cephalopoda; Sepiida; Sepiidae. The record is from the annotation of a GenBank genome assembly.